UGUGUUGCUUAGCAACGCAAAAAUAGUGGAGACAAAAAAAAGCUGCUCAAGUGUGGAGUUCUGACGAUAGAGAGAGUUAACGCUCGUUUUGACUAAUUUCUCAAGGAACUCUAAUAUUUUGUGACACAUAACGACUUGGGAAAGAACUAGAACGAGAGAAGAGGAUACUGAAAUUAGUGUUGGGCAAAAUUCCUUGUUAAGAAGCUUUCAAAAUAGAAAAGCUUUGGCGAUUUGUUGAGGGAUAAGAUAUUUUGUCUUUUGUUGUGGAACGUUUGCUCGGGAACCUGUUGCUACCCGGAGGAGUUAUUAAGGGCACAAACAUAGGCUUCUAGGAGCGAAGCGCUGUAAACAGAAGCGCGGUGUGCUUUAUAAAAUACAAAAAAAUAAAAAAGAUCAAGCUGGGUUUUGAGAAUUUUUAGUUAUGUUUAAGAAUACAUUUCAAAGCGGCUUCUUGUCCAUUUUGUACAGCAUUGGGAGCAAACCUCUACAAAUAUGGGAUAAAAAGGUGAGAAAUGGCCAUAUAAAGCGUAUUACGGACAACGACAUCCAGUCGUUAGUGCUUGAGGUGGAAGGAACCAAUGUCAGCACGACCUACAUCACAUGUCCUGCAGAUCCGAAGAAAACCCUGGGCAUCAAACUCCCCUUCCUGGUCAUGAUCAUCAAGAAUCUGAAGAAAUAUUUCACAUUUGAAGUUCAGGUAUUGGAUGAUAAAAACGUGCGGCGGAGAUUCCGAGCCAGUAACUACCAGAGCACCACACGGGUGAAGCCCUUCAUCUGCACCAUGCCCAUGCGGCUGGACGACGGCUGGAACCAGAUCCAGUUCAACCUGUCGGACUUCACACGGAGAGCGUACGGCACCAACUACAUCGAGACGCUGCGAGUACAGAUCCACGCGAACUGUCGCAUAAGAAGAGUGUACUUUUCCGAUAGACUGUACUCCGAGGACGAGCUGCCGGCAGAGUUUAAACUCUAUUUGCCGGUACAAAACAAAGCAAAGCAGUAACGUGGAACCUUUCCUCGAUUCCUGCAGUUUUUCCCCCUCACCAAAUUUCCAGUCAUGUGACUUUGCCUUGUUUAGUUUAGGUUUUUUUUUUUCUUCCUGUGUUGUAUGUUUUAUAUGCACAAUGUGAGCGGAGAAUUCAGCCCAGAAUGUGAAUUCAGCAUUCAGACCCACAAAAGUAACAUAUUAUAUUACUGUAUGUGUGUGUGUGUGUGUGUGUGUGAGAUACACAUGAAAGACAUCAUUGGCUUGACCAGCUUUAUUUUCUUAUCCGGAACGUCAGCUGCCACAAUACGUCGGAACGUACGUAGGAACGUAGCAAUGAUCUGUACAUCAUUAUGUUAAAGGUCGUGGGCGGAAAUUGUGCGAUUUAUAGAUUUUUUUUUUUUUUUUUUUUGGCACCUGUCACUAAAAUAAACCUCCUUAUAAAACCAAAUCUGUAUCAAAAAUGUAAUUACAUGGAAAAGUCUGGAAUAGAAAUACUUUGAUUUGUAUAUCAUCUUUCAGCCAUUCAAUGAAAGUCUAUUACAAAGUAAUUCAUGGAAUUCACAUCUUUGGGUCAAAAGGAUUUGAAAGUACCUCAAUACUGGUCCAGUCACUUGAAAUUACAACAGCAUAUUCAUUCAAAUUUGAACUGAAAUUAAAAUGUAGAACACUGUUUCUAAGGAUAAACAAUUGUUACAAUCUUUUUUUUUUCUCUCUCUCAAAUAAUACACAUUCAUUUGAAUUGUAAUUAAUUUGUAUAUGAUUUGCUAAAUAAUAACUGAUGAAGAAACUCUGCGAGGUUCUGGAAACGCAUGCGUUGUAGAUAAAGUGCAAAAACCUAAAUGGCUUUACUAUGUAAAGGAAGCGAAACUAUACAUAUAGAAGCUGAAUGAAACAGUAUGUGUACAUAUCACAAAGUGUGUAUACUGUUUAUAGAAUGUUCAUGAAACAGAAUCAAAAAGCAAGAAGGGGAAAAAAUGGUCAUGGUGUAAGCUCGAGUGUGUGAGCUUCAGGGCAAUUUAAUGCUGAUGCUUUGCUUUGGGCAGUGUGUGUGUCUCUCUCUCUCUCUCUCUCCAUGUCUUUCUCUCUCCCCCCCUCCUCCCUGUUUCUUUCUCAAUAUCUCUUUCUUUUUCUGUCUGUUUAUCUGUCUCUCUCUGCGCUUAUAAAGUGCAUUAGCAGAGGAUUUGCCUCUUCGUGGUAAUGACGUAAGCGUCGUUCUUGCUCGGAUCCUUAAAAAUGUUGAAAAAUCGGUUUGGGGGUUGUUUUUUUUUUUUGUUUGUUUGUUUGUUUUUAAAUUCAGCAUAUUGCUUAUGGUGGUGAAGCCCCGCCUUCUGUCGCACUUCCAUAAUGAAGCACAUAGUAAUCAUGGACGUACAUGAGCACAGCAAUGGGCUGACCGAUGAUCAGAGAGAUCCACACCGCUGCGUUGCCGUAGUUACCUCUCAGGAAGCGGCCCACGAACAUGGCAAGCGGAAUCUGAAAGCAAAAAUCGAUUAGAAACGCUAUCUUGGUCAAUGGUUUGUGUGUACUGCGACUUUAUUAGCGUAAAACCAGGGAUUCUACACUAACCUGAGCCAUCAUUCCCAUGAACGCCCAAAGCCGGAACAUCUUCAGAGGCACGCUCACCAGGUACUGAGACAGAACAAACACAACUGGAUAUUGAAAAUCAGACGUUUGGAUGCGCAAUUCGGUCAAACGGCAAAUUCUAAAAGUUUGGAAAAAGUGCUCCAAAUUAUUUACUUUAUAUUCGUGCACUGUAUUUGAAUUGUAGACAAAUAACCUCACUAGGAAAACCAUUAAAAUGGCUCAAUGUGCCACAAGUCUAAAAUGAUACAUACUUGAAAAUUGUAAAAAAAUUGUAACAAAAGGUACCUUCUUUAACGUUCUUUGUUGUAUACGUUUGCGAUAUUUAGCAGGAUCGCAAAUAUCUUUAAUGAUCAGGAUCAUAGACUGUCAGAGAUUUUGGGUGGGUUGCACCAAUAAGGAUUCAAUUCGGCACAGUUUAGAGCUAAUCUAGGAUUUGUUGAUCUGGGCUUUAUUUUAAAUCGACUUGUGUUGCACCACUUCAAUUUUAAACACAGAUUAACAAAUCAGGGGAUUAGAAUUCUAACCCGUGAUUAAAACCUCCAUUUACGAUUCGUUUUCUCCGUCAUGACGGAUUCGCCAUUGACGAUAUUUCAUCAACGUGGAAAUACUUGAGUUCUCCAGUGUAACUAUAAACAGCAAUGAUGUUCAGUGAACUUUAAACAGAAGGAUCGUGAACUUUAAACUUUGAAUAAAAACAAAAAAAAAUUCAACUGCCGUUAUUAACCGCUCAUUCGCAUACAGGUUGAGAAAAUGAAAAGAUUAUAGUCUGUCCCGGUUUAUUGUGAAAUUACAUCCAGGAUUAACGUGAUGGUUUAAAUGUAAGACUGCUUAUUUUGAAAUAUAUAAACCUUGGUUUAAUCUAGAUUUAAGCGUAAUCCUUAUUGGUGCAACCCACCCUUUAUGACAUAUACGUGAAAUUAUAUUGUGUUAAGUGUUAACACCUCGUGAAAGAAAGCGGAGAGAAAAAACACGGCGAUCUGAGCUGUCAGCCUGUUCAAACCUCUUCUCAACAUGGGCUUAUAAAAGUGCCUGAGAGCAGAGAAGAAACAGAAAGCAACCGAUUCAUUAGGCAAUACAAAUGUGUGACUGACAUUAACGAGGCUGUUGAACCCCAAAUCUGAUGCACUCUGGGAAAUCGUAAUAACCGAACGUAGCUCGGACUCACCGCAGGCACCAUUUAUGGACAGGGAUGUUCCAGUUUGACCAGAAAUAUGGCACUGUUUCUGAGUUCCUACAAAUAAAAGAAACAAACUCUGCAGUUUGGAUUACCUUAAAGGUGCAGCUUGUAUUUUUUUUUUUUAAAAGUGUGUUUAGACGUGUAAUAAUCGUCUAACUUUAAAGCUGCAUUAGAAAAACUGUGAUUCACGGUAUUAUCAUUCGCAGUAGGAUCUUGAGUAGUGCCUUCAUUUCCACUAGUGCUUUUGUUUAUGCUCUUCUGGCCCAGAAAUUAGCUCCACCCCCCGCCAGAACAUGUUAUGUUUUGUUUACAAUGUAGUGCACAAGGCAGACAUAGUUUACGCACGGGUCGUAGUGGUGUGGCUUGUAAGACGAACACGUUUUCAUGACCCAGACACCAAAGGGUUAAAAAUGGCUUCUUUGAUGCGGUUAAUGAGGGACCUGUAAAUGGAUGGGUAGAUGGUCUAGAACAACAACAACAUGUACGAUACUCACCACCAGUCUCGAUAAAAUUCUCGGUCUCCAAACUGCAUCAGUUCAGCGACAAAGUUCAUGGAGGAGUGGAAUAACCAGUAAAAAAAGAUGAGCCAUAUUAAAUGAUUAGGCACCUGUAGGAGAAGAGGACCGGGUUGAUGAGGAGAUGAGGAGGAGAGAUUUUUUAUUAAAAAAAAAAAAAUCUAACACAAUCCAAACCUUUUUAACUAAGCUUUAGAAUAAAAAAUGUUUAUUCAAACACCUAAGACGGGCAUCAUUACUCUCCUACAGGGAACAAUUCAUAGCCAUCAACAUGAUGUAUAUAAAUUUUUAUUAUUUGAAAAAAUCUGAAUAUUACAACAUAAAUGUGUGCAAAAUGACGCUAUUUAAAAAGCGCUGUGCUUCCAGUGCAAUACUUAUUUAUGCCAAAUAUAACGAAAUCAGUAUGUAAACAAAACUGUUUCCAUAAAACAAUUUUUUUUUUAAAUGUAAAAAAGUAAAAUGCCCCUAAAAUAUAUGGAAAUAAAGAGCAUGUUAUAAUACGGUGACUGGAUUUAUUCUUUAAUUCCCUCUGAUCCGAUCCAGAAGUUUCUGCUGAUAUUGGCCUGAUAUUGAGACACGGACUACGUUUACAUGGACAGCAAACAUACAUGGAUUAACGGCACACGUCAUUACGUCCCCGCGCCACGCCGUCCGACGUUCCCUCCAGAAUUUCACGUAUCGACGUACAGUUCAUCUUCGUUAUGGUACCGUUUUAAUUUCACGAAAGCUUCAAGUGCGGUUAAUUAUUUGUCGUGCUAUACGUGCAAAUAGACGACUGCUUGAAGCCGUGAGCUGUGUCCGAAUCCGCAUACUUACCUACUAUAUAUUAGAUGAAAUACAUGUAUAUCUCCUAUUAUAUACUGUUGUAGGUAAGUACGCGGUUUGGGACGCAGCCGCGCUCUCUUGUUUGCCGUCAAAUGGUUGAGCAUUGCCGUGUGUCUAUGUGUCAUGUCAUAGAAUGCGGUGAAAACUCCCACACGAUGUUAAUAGCGUGAUUAAGGUGUGUACGUGUCUGUAACGCACGUCAAUGACGCGGCUAAAACAGGAAUACUCCACAUGUCUUAAUUCCAUUUGUGUUUACUUCGAGUGUGACUUUAAUCGGAUUAAGGUCAUCAAUAAUCGCUGUUUACAUGCUAGUUUCUUAAUCGGGUUCAUAUCGGAUUAUUGUUGUUCAUGUAAACGUACCGAAUGAUAUCAUUUACAGUGAGGACAGAAGGAAAUAUGAACAGGACAAUUACAAGUAUCCUGUACUCACAGCAAGCUUCAGGAGGCGCUCCACCAUCCUGGACAAGUCCAUGUCCUAUGACAAAAAAACCAAACGGAGAUCUAUUCAAAUUCAUCAAAAUAUCACAAAACGCUGUAUUUCUUUUUUUUAAAACCACACAGAACAAGUAAGCGUUUCUCUGAGCAGUGCUUAUACUAUUUAUACUACAGUCUUUCAUUUUCUAGGUUUCCUUUUUUAGUUUCUAUGAAUGCAAACCAUUUUAAUAAAGCCAAAUAUGUAGUGGGUUUGGUCACGCACUGACGGACUGGAUAGGGCAGUGGUAGCUCGGGGGUUUGUAGCCAAUAUUGGGCCCUUGAGCAAGGCCCUUAACCUUCAACUGCUCAGAUGUAUAAAUGAGAUAAAUGGAAGUCGCUCUGGAUAAGGGCGGUUGCCAAAUGCCAUAAAAGUAAACGUAAAAGCAUGAUUUCAACAACACUGUAGUAUUAUGAUAACUAAUGCAGUAUAUUAUGUUAGUUAACAGAACUGUAAUGUAAAGUGUUUAUUCAUUAAAACCAGUCUAUGACCGAU
RNA transcript from Ictalurus furcatus (blue catfish), 6056 nucleotides. It is a transcript of the gene named cilia and flagella associated protein 20, with no coding region annotated. NCBI's taxonomy places the organism in Eukaryota, Metazoa, Chordata, Actinopteri, Siluriformes, Ictaluridae. The record is from RefSeq and is a predicted model, not a curated record. The transcript has 7 exons.